AACGCUAGCUACAGGCUUAACACAUGCAAGUCGAGGGUAAACGACAUCGAAAGCUUGCUUUUGGUGGGCGUCGACCGGCGCACGGGUGAGUAACGCGUAUCCAACCUGCCCACCACUUGGGAAUAACCUUGCGAAAGUAAGACUAAUACCCAAUGAUAUCCCACGAAGGCAUCCGAAUGGGAUUAAAGAUUUAUCGGUGAUGGAUGGGGAUGCGUCUGAUUAGCUUGUUGGCGGGGUAACGGCCCACCAAGGCUACGAUCAGUAGGGGUUCUGAGAGGAAGGUCCCCCACAUUGGAACUGAGACACGGUCCAAACUCCUACGGGAGGCAGCAGUGAGGAAUAUUGGUCAAUGGGCGAGAGCCUGAACCAGCCAAGUAGCGUGCAGGAUGACGGCCCUAUGGGUUGUAAACCUCUUUUGUUUGGGAAUAAAGUGCGGGACGUGUCCCGCAUUGCAUGUACCAUUUGAAUAAGGACCGGCUAAUUCCGUGCCAGCAGCCGCGGUAAUACGGAAGGUCCGGGCGUUAUCCGGAUUUAUUGGGUUUAAAGGGAGCGCAGGCCGUGGGUUAAGCGUGUCGUGAAAUUCCGUCGCUCAACGGCGGACGUGCGGCGCGAACUGGUCCACUUGAGUACGCGGGACGUUGGCGGAAUUCGUGGUGUAGCGGUGAAAUGCUUAGAUAUCACGAAGAACUCCGAUUG
RNAcentral lists this ribosomal RNA (696 nucleotides) under uncultured bacterium. Its description in RNAcentral is "bacterial SSU rRNA". It matches the Rfam family "Bacterial small subunit ribosomal RNA", at positions 32 to 715 of the family's 1533-position model. The record is from RNAcentral.